Solanum dulcamara is the source of this 222-nucleotide long non-coding RNA. RefSeq lists it as uncharacterized. The transcript is spliced from 3 exons. The record is from RefSeq and is a predicted model, not a curated record. NCBI's taxonomy places the organism in Eukaryota, Viridiplantae, Streptophyta, Magnoliopsida, Solanales, Solanaceae.
GGCUAUCUUGCAUGGAAAUUUAAGGAGAACAUCGUGGAAGUUUCAGAAUCUGUUUUUGGCAUGUCGUUCGAGUUUGGCAGCGUUCCGAGGUCGUUCGAAAGGGAAAAGCUCCAGCACAGUGAUUUGAAGCUCGCGUGUUUAGCCUACAGGACCGAGUACCAUCUACUGUCACGAAUAGAUCGAGCUUGUUGCAGUCAGAUUCGGAGACUAGGGUGAUAACUU